UACGGAGGGUGCAAGCGUUAUCCGGAUUCACUGGGUUUAAAGGGCGCGUAGGCGGGCAUUCAAGUCCGUGGUGAAAUCCGGCAGCUCAACUGUCGAACUGCCGCGGAUACUGGGUGUCUCGAGGGAGGUAGGGGCGUGCGGAACUAUUGGUGGAGCGGUGAAAUGCGUUGAUAUCAAUAGGAACUCCGGUGGCGAAGGCGGCACGCUGGACCUUUUCUGACGCUGAGGCGCGAAAGCCAGGGGAGCAAACAGG
This 253-nucleotide ribosomal RNA is filed under the name uncultured bacterium. Its description in RNAcentral is "partial 16S ribosomal RNA". It matches the Rfam family "Bacterial small subunit ribosomal RNA", at positions 524 to 776 of the family's 1533-position model. The record is from RNAcentral.